GAUGAACGCUGGCGGCGUGCCUAACACAUGCAAGUCGAACGGAGAAGCGCCUUCCUUUUUUGUGUGUUUGGAUGGGCGGCGAACGGGUGAGUAACACGCUAGUAACCUUCUCCGUUUUUCUGGAUAACCGCAUGACAGUGUGACUAAUCCGGGAUAUUCUGGGUCUGUCGCAUGAUGGGUCUGGGAAAGAUCUUCUUUCGGUGGUUGAUGGUCUCGCGCUGGAUUAGCUAGUUGGUAGGGUGACGGCGUACCAAGGCGGCGAUGGGUAGCCGACCUGAGAGGAGGAUCGGCGACACUGGAACGGAGACACGGUCCAGACGCCUACGGGAGGCAGCAGUAGGGAAGAUUACGCAAUGGGCGAAAGCCUGACGAAGCAACGACGCGGGGGGGGGGAAGGUGGUCUGAGCGUAAAGCACUUUUAUUGGGGAUGAAGCAAGGUUGCCUUAUCUGUGGGUGGCUUGACGGUACCUAGACAAGAAGCGCCGGCUAACUACGUG
RNAcentral lists this ribosomal RNA (497 nucleotides) under uncultured bacterium. RNAcentral's name for it is "partial 16S ribosomal RNA". It matches the Rfam family "Bacterial small subunit ribosomal RNA", at positions 28 to 507 of the family's 1533-position model. The record is from RNAcentral.